CCUACGGGUGGCUGCCGUGGGGAAUAUUGGACAAUGGGGGAAACCCUGAUCCAGCAAUGCCGCGUGUGUGAAGAAGGCCUGCGGGUUGUAAAGCACUUUCGGUUGGGAAGAAAAGUUUGGCGCCAAUACCGCCGAACCUUGACGUUACUGACAGAAGAAGCACCGGCUAACUCUGUGCCAGCAGCCGCGGUAAUACAGAGGGUGCAAGCGUUAAUCGGAGUGACUGUACGUAAAGAGUGCGUACGGGGGCGAAAUCCCCGGGCUUAACCUUGGAACUGCAUUCGAUACUACAUGGCUAGAGUAUGGUAGAGGGAAGUGGAAUUUCCGGUGUAGCGGUGAAAUGCGUAGAUAUCGGAAGGAACACCAAUGGCGAAGGCAGCUUCCUGGACUAAUACUGACACUGAGGCACGAAAGCGUGGGUAGCAAACAGGAUUAGAUACCCUAGUAGUC
This 450-nucleotide ribosomal RNA is filed under the name uncultured bacterium. RNAcentral describes it as "partial 16S ribosomal RNA". It matches the Rfam family "Bacterial small subunit ribosomal RNA", at positions 338 to 795 of the family's 1533-position model. The record is from RNAcentral.